AUGGCGACCGGCGUACGGGUGAGUAACGCGUAUCCAACCUGCCCUUUACUAUGGGACAGCCCGUCGAAAGGCGGAUUAAUACCGUAUGUUGUCAUGUUGAUGCAUAUUUUCACGACCAAAGGCUUCGGCCGGUAAAGGAUGGGGAUGCGUCUGAUUAGCUUGCCGGCGGGGUAACGGCCCACCGGGGCGACGAUCAGUAGGGGUUCUGAGAGGAAGGUCCCCCACAUUGGAACUGAGACACGGUCCAAACUCCUACGGAAGGCAGCAG
This 268-nucleotide ribosomal RNA is filed under the name uncultured bacterium. Its description in RNAcentral is "partial 16S ribosomal RNA". It matches the Rfam family "Bacterial small subunit ribosomal RNA", at positions 88 to 354 of the family's 1533-position model. The record is from RNAcentral.